This 460-nucleotide ribosomal RNA is filed under the name uncultured bacterium. Its description in RNAcentral is "partial 16S ribosomal RNA". It matches the Rfam family "Bacterial small subunit ribosomal RNA", at positions 338 to 795 of the family's 1533-position model. The record is from RNAcentral.
CCUACGGGUGUCUGCAGUGAGGAAUAUUGGUCAAUGGGCGCGAGCCUGAACCAGCCAAGUCGCGUGAGGGAAGACGGCCCUACGGGUUGUAAACCUCUUUUGCCGGGGAGCAACGGGCGCCACGUGUGGCGCUACUGAGAGUACCCGGAGAAAAAGCAUCGGCUAACUCCGUGCCAGCAGCGGCGGUAAGACGGAGGAUGCGAGCGUUAUCCGGAUUUAUUGGGUUAAAAGGGUGCGUAGGAGGAGCGUUAAGUCAGUGGUCAAAUUGAGGGGCUCAACCCCUUCCCGCCAUUGAAACUGGCGCUCUUGAGUGGAAGAGAAGGAUGCGGAAUGCGUGGUGUAGCGGUGAAAUGCAUAGAUAUCACGCAGAACCCCGAUUGCGAAGGCAGCAUGCCGGCUUCCGACUGACGCUGAAGCACGAAAGCGUGGGGAUCGAACAGGAUUAGAUACCCUUGUAGUC